RNAcentral lists this ribosomal RNA (468 nucleotides) under uncultured bacterium. RNAcentral's name for it is "partial 16S ribosomal RNA". It matches the Rfam family "Bacterial small subunit ribosomal RNA", at positions 28 to 507 of the family's 1533-position model. The record is from RNAcentral.
GACGAACGCUGGCGGCGUGCUUAACACAUGCAAGUCGAACGGAAAGGCCCUGCUUUUGUGGGGUGCUCGAGUGGCGAACGGGUGAGUAACACGUGAGUAACCUGCCAUUGACUUUGGGAUAACUUCAGGAAACUGGGGCUAAUACCGGAUAGGAGCUCCUGCUGCAUGGUGGGGGUUGGAAAGUUUCGGCGGUUGGGGAUGGACUGGCGGCUUAUCAGCUUGUUGGUGGGGUAGUGGCUUACCAAGGCUUUGACGGGUAGCCGGCCUGAGAUGGUGACCUGCCACAUCGGGACUGAGAUGCGGCCCAGACUCCUACGGGAGGCAGCAGUGGGGAAUAUUGCACAAUGGGCUGAAGCCUGAUGCAGCAACGCCGCGUGCGGGAUGACGUCCUUCGGGUUGGAAACCGCUUUCGCCUGUGACGAAGCGUGAGUGACGGUAAUGGGUAAAGAAGCACCGGCUAACUACGUG